RNAcentral lists this long non-coding RNA (1911 nucleotides) under Lathyrus oleraceus (garden pea). Its description in RNAcentral is "Pisum sativum (pea) long non-coding RNA (PSAT_LNC028289)". Lineage: Eukaryota; Viridiplantae; Streptophyta; Magnoliopsida; Fabales; Fabaceae. The record is from RNAcentral.
UAGAUAUAAUCUAGAUUCAUUUAAGUUGCAUUUGGAGUUAAUUUGAAUUUCAUUUAAUUCUGAAUGUGUGUAUAAGUAAAAGCUGAGUUUUUCGGUUUUUCAAAGAUCUUUUUUUCAAUUGCAACAAAAUUUCAAUUCAGUAAAAGUUAGUUACAACUUUUCUCUCUUCUCUCUCUUCCAUCUUCAUCAUCUUCAUUUUCUUCCUCUUGUGCACCAUCAAUUGGUUGUUGAGAAACAAGUGUGAGUUGUGUUGAGAAACAAAUGUGAGUUGUAUUGAGAAACAAGUGUGAGUUCUAAGUCUCACAUUGCUUAGAAAGGUGGAGGUUGAGCAUUUUAUAAGUAAGAGGACGCAUACACCUAUCACCUUAAGAUUUUGGGUGAAUGUGUGGUGUCUCUCUCACUUGUUUGAGGGAGUAUUUGACCUUUAGAUGAGUGUUUAAUCCAAUGUGAUUGCUCCCCCCUUAUGAUGACUCAUUAGUGGUAUCAGAGAUGAUGGUUCGAGUAAAGGACCGAUUCCUUGUGUUGAAAGUCUUCCUGACAUGGUGGUCAGACAGCGUGUUUCGUUGAAAUGUCCAUGACGAGAUAAUGGUGUCUCACAAUGGCGAUACAAGCAUGUGGAUGAACGAGCUUCCGUUUGAGGGGGUAUAGUGGAUGGACUCACACUUGAGGGGAAGAUUGUUGAGAAAUAAAUGUGAGUUGCGUUGAGAAACAAAUGUGAGAUCUAAGUCACACAUUGCUUAAAAAAGAUAGAGGUUGAGCAUUUUAUAAGUAAGAGAACUCAUACAUCUAUCACCUUAAGGUUUUUGAUGAAUAUGCGGUGUCUCUCUCACAUUUUUUGGUGAAUCUUUGACUUUUAGGUGAGUGUUUGACCCAAUGUGAAUGUUUUCCCCUCAUGAUGACCCAUCAUUGAUAUCUAGAGCUCCAGUUUAAAUCCACGAAAAACACCACAAAAAAACCGAGUGAAUGUGAGUCGUAUGUGAUUAAUUUUAUUUCUUAAAUUUGCAUUCAGAUCCUUGAUGCAAAGUCUCGUUUAUCCUACAACAACUCAUUAUUUCUGUGGUGAACUAGUGUCAUCUAAAACAUGAUAGAACACUAAUUGUAUCAAUUCCAUGUUGACGAUUUCAUAUUUAGCAAUAAUCUAAUGGACAAUUAUUCAAGGUUACAAAACUUAUUCUCUAAUUAUGAAUUAUUCUAAAUAAGAUAAUGGAGAAGUACCUUAAGUUUAAUUCAAAAGUGAUCAAAUAAAAAUAACAUUACACAUAAAGGAUAAACAAAUAAAAAAUGAACUUGGUUGUGUAAAAUAGAAUUCAUAAAUUACAUGGUUAAAGUAGAUUCAAAUAGGUUCAUUUAUCAUAACUGCACUAAGAGUUUAGUUGUUCAUGUUCUUAGGCAAAAUAGCCUUUAACUUUAAUUAAAUUUGGUGACCUAAAUCAGUUAAAUAUUAAGAAAACAAAAUAUACCUUAGUUUCAUGGAUGAAUGAGUAUUUCUAGAGUAAAGAAAUAUGAAUUUUAAAACUAAAGCAUUCAAAAAAUAAAUUUCAGUUUCUAACAAUGAACCACAUUAUUUAAUUGGUGAUCAAGCAAUAGAAAAAUUCAAACACAGAGAUAAGAAAGAGAGACAAAUAUCUAUGAAUUCUAGUGGAGAAGAACAUGUGGGAAAUCCAAAUAAAAUGUUUGAGCUAUCAUCAUCUUUUUCUAGCAACUUAAACUAAGAUAGGAACAUUUCACCAAAAAAGUUAGGAACCAAACUCUAAUUUCUUUAUUCUUUUUGAAUAACCAAACUCUAAUUAUUGAUCACACGAGUUUGGGUUUGAGCCGAGCUCGUUGCUAUUGCCAAGCCUAACUAACCAGAAAGCCAUUUAAAUAUUACCUUAACUAAUUAAUUAAUUAACAACUCUAUGAGUUUUUCUU